ACGGGCGGUGUGUGCAAGGAGCAGGGACGUAUUCACCGCGCGAUAAUGACACGCAGUUACUAGGGAUUCCAUAUUCGUGAGGGCGAGUUGCAGCCCUCAGUCAUAACUGUGGUAACGUUUCUGGAUUACCUCCUCCUUUCGGAUUCGGAACACAUUGUCGUUACCAUUGCAGCCCGCGUGUGGCCCCAGAGUUUCGGGGCAUACUGACCUGCCGUGGCCCCUUCCUUCCUCCGUAUUAACUACGGCGGUCCCGCUAAUUCGCCCCACUACUCCUGAGAGUAAUGGUGGCAACUAGAGGCAGGGAUCUCGCUCGUUACCUGACUUAACAGGACAUCCCACGGCACGAGCUGGCGACGGCCAUGCACCACUUCUCAGCUUGUCUGGUAAAGUCUCCAGCUUGACCUUCAUUCUGCUGUCUCCUCGGGUAAGAUUUCUGGCGUUGACUCCAAUUGAACCGCAGGCUUCACCCCUUGUGGUGCUCCCCCGCCAAUUCCUUUAAGUUUCAUACUUGCGUACGUACUUCCCAGGCGGCAAACUUAACGGCUUCCCUGCGGCACUGCACUGGCCACAAGCCAGGGCAUCACCGAGUCUGCAUCGUUUACAGCUGGGACUACCCGGGUAUCUAAUCCGGUUUGCUCCCCCAGCUUUCAUCCCUCACCGUCGAACGUGUUCUGGUAGACCGCCUUCGCCACAGGUGGUCAUCAAUAGAUCAAAGGAUUUUACCCCUUCCUACCGAGUACCGUCUACCUCUCCCACUCCCUAGCUUUGCAGUUUUU
Molecule: ribosomal RNA, 776 nt
Filed under: uncultured archaeon
Lineage: Archaea
Description: partial 16S ribosomal RNA
Source: RNAcentral